RNAcentral lists this ribosomal RNA (657 nucleotides) under uncultured bacterium. Its description in RNAcentral is "bacterial SSU rRNA". It matches the Rfam family "Bacterial small subunit ribosomal RNA", at positions 758 to 1416 of the family's 1533-position model. The record is from RNAcentral.
AGCGUGGGGGAGCAACAUGAUUAGAUACCCUGUAGUCAACGCAGGUAACGAUGAUACUAGUGUCGGGUGGCAUAGCCAUUACGGUGCCGUCGCAAACGCAAUAAGUAUUCCACCUGGGGAGUACGUUCGCAAGGAAUGAACUCAAAGGGAUUGACGGGGACCCGCACAAGCGGUGGAGCAUGUGGUUUAAUUCGACGCAACGCGAAGAACCUUACCAAGUCUUGACAUCCCGAUGACCAUCUAUGUAAUGUAGACUUUCUUUCGGAACAUCGGUGACAGGUGGUGCAUGGUUGUCGUCAGCUCGUGUCGUGAGAUGUUGGGUUAAGUCCCGCAACGAGCGCAACCCCUAUCUUUAGUAGCCAGCAUUUAAGGUGGGCACUCUAGAGAGACUGCCAGGGAUAACCUGGAGGAAGGUGGGGAUGACGUCAAAUCAUCAUGCCCCUUAUGACUUGGGCUACACACGUGCUACAAUGGCGUAAACAAAGGGAAGCGAGACUGUGAAGUGGAGCAAAUCCCAAAAAUAACGUCUCAGUUCGGAUUGUAGUCUGCAACUCGACUACAUGAAGCUGGAAUCGCUAGUAAUCGCGAAUCAGAAUGUCGCGGUGAAUACGUUCCCGGGUCUUGUACACACCGCCCGUCACACCAUGGGAGUGGGCA